AGAGUUUGAUCAUGGCUCAGGACGAACGCUGGCGGCGCGCCUAACACAUGCAAGUCGAACGAGCGAGAGAGAGCUUGCUUUCUCAAGCGAGUGGCGAACGGGUGAGUAACGCGUGAGGAACCUGCCUCAAAGAGGGGGACAACAGUUGGAAACGACUGCUAAUACCGCAUAAGCCCACAGGUCGGCAUCGACCAGAGGGAAAAGGAGCAAUCCGCUUUGAGAUGGCCUCGCGUCCGAUUAGCUAGUUGGUGAGGUAACGGCCCACCAAGGCAACGAUCGGUAGCCGGACUGAGAGGUUGAACGGCCACAUUGGGACUGAGACACGGCCCAGACUCCUACGGGAGGCAGCAGUGGGGAAUAUUGCACAAUGGGGGAAACCCUGAUGCAGCGACGCCGCGUGGAGGAAGAAGGUCUUCGGAUUGUAAACUCCUGUUGUUGAGGAAGAUAAUGACGGUACUCAACAAGGAAGUGACGGCUAACUACGUGCCAGCAGCCGCGGUAAAACGUAGGUCACAAGCGUUGUCCGGAAUUACUGGGUGUAAAGGGAGCGCAGGCGGGAAGACAAGUUGGAAGUGAAAUCUAUGGGCUCAACCCAUAAACUGCUUUCAAAACUGUUUUUCUUGAGUAGUGCAGAGGUAGGCGGAAUUCCCGGUGUAGCGGUGGAAUGCGUAGAUAUCGGGAGGAACACCAGUGGCGAAGGCGGCCUACUGGGCACCAACUGACGCUGAGGCUCGAAAGUGUGGGUAGCAAACAGGAUUAGAUACCCUGGUAGU
This 773-nucleotide ribosomal RNA is filed under the name uncultured bacterium. RNAcentral describes it as "bacterial SSU rRNA". It matches the Rfam family "Bacterial small subunit ribosomal RNA", at positions 8 to 794 of the family's 1533-position model. The record is from RNAcentral.